This 1440-nucleotide long non-coding RNA is filed under the name Sus scrofa (pig). RNAcentral describes it as "lncRNA (ENSSSCG00005034042.1)". The record is from RNAcentral. Lineage: Eukaryota; Metazoa; Chordata; Mammalia; Artiodactyla; Suidae.
AGUGAGGAGGAAGCCCCUGGAGUAAGUAAGGUCUUUCUCUAUCGUCGGCACUGGAGGGGUGAGAGCUGUAAAGAGGGAGAAUAGGGAACCGCAUGGGGUUGGCCACUCUGGUACUUAAGUGGCUUUCGUCGCCUUUAGGAGACGGGGAAGGGGAAACGAGCAGAAGAUAGAAAUGCUACCAAGGACCAGAAGCGAAAAGGGGAGCAAGGCGUGCGUGGGGCAGGGGAGCGAGCAAUCAGGUGAGGGUAAAGGACCGGGAAGGGGGCGGCGCCCAGGGACCCGAUCCAGGCGGUAGGCGUAGGCGGGCGGGGAGCUGCCCAGAGGUGGGUGUGUGUAUCUGGGUGUGUCCGGGCUGCCGUGGGGGAGGGGGCCGCCCAUCCCGGGGUCCUGAGGGAGGGGCUCGCCGAGGGGGCGGGUCCGGCAGCUCAGCCCGGCCCGGGGCCAAGAGGGUGGAAGGUCUCCCGGUGCCUUGAGGCGGGGUAGGAGGGAAGUGGCUGAACGCCCCACCCAGUUAAGGAGCAGCACCUACCUCCGGGGGUGGAAAUGGGCCGGAAUGGGCCGGAACACCGUCCCGGAAGUGAAACCCCCCACCCCCUCCCCCAGAGCGGGCUACGUGCCGGAAGGAAAUCACUCACCCUUACACCGCCCCUCUCCCCCCUCCCCCAGCGCUUUCCGUCCCUCGCGCCCCCUCCCCUCUCUUCUUUUCCUCCUCAGUCGGUAGGAGGGCGGGCGCUCUGUGUCACGUGGCCGGCCUGUCCACGCCCACAACGGCGAGCAGGAGCUGGUCAAGAGGUGGGGCCAGGGGGGAGCUUAGCGGACGGAAAGGAGCUACGGUUGGAGGAGGAGACUGAGGGAGGGGGAAGACUGGAGAGGGAUGCUGGCGGAGAGAAUGCGUCGUGACGUCACGGAAAAGAGUCCUUAUAUACUGGCGCCUGGGCGCCAUCUCAGUCUUUCGAGGCUGCGGGUUGGGUCUUGGAAUGGUGCUAGGGAUGAAUGCAAUGUGGCUUUUGAUGGCUUCUGAUGGGCAGCUAAGCGCCAAAGAUAUGAGAAUCGCUGCUGGGGUUGUAAAGCGCAAGCUUAACACUGUAUUUGUGGGCAAAAAGGUGCUAGGCAGAGUUAGCUGAAAGGUGAAGAGGUGAACUUGUCUGACAUGUCUGGACCAGCCUUUUUAGUGGGUACUCGGUAUUAUCUGUGGAUGACUUGUUUGGGGUGCAGAUUUUGAGGACCUUUUGUAUAAAGGUGUGAAGAGGCCUUGGCUACAAGGCAUUGAUUGGAACAUGCCUUAAAAGGCAGAUCUUCUGUUACCCUGAAGAUUUCAAAGGCAUUUAAAUGAGCAGCAGUCAACGCAACUUAACCAAUUGACAGGUAGCUGGAUGGAUGCUUGUGGGAUGGAUAGAAGAAAAGUAAACAACUUUGUAUUUUAAUAAAUGUUUUUUACUU